Molecule: long non-coding RNA, 435 nt
Organism: Oncorhynchus tshawytscha (Chinook salmon)
Lineage: Eukaryota; Metazoa; Chordata; Actinopteri; Salmoniformes; Salmonidae
Source: Ensembl
CUUUCAAUACAGUGGAUAAGAAGGGGUGUGCCAGGUGUGUUCUCUGCCUGAAAGACAAAGAGAUCAAUUAUACCAACGAAGGGUCUCCUGCUCUGCUGGCACUUUGUAGAACAGAUGUCCCCAUGGCAGAAAGUGUGCAGUGUGUUAUGUGUUAGUGUGCAGUGUGUUAGUGUGCAGUGUGUUAGUGUGCAGUGUGUUAGUGUGCAGUAUGUUAGUGUGCAGUAUGUUAGUGUGCAGUAUGUUAGUGUGCAGUAUGUUAGUGUGCAGUAUGUUAGUGUGCAGUGUGUUAGUGUGCAGUGUGUUCAUGUGCAGUGUGCUACUGUGCAGUGUGCUACUGUGCAGUGUGCUACUGUGCAGUGUGCUACUGUGCAGUGUGCAUGUGUUAGUGUGCAGUGUAGCCCAAAGAGAGGUGUUUUUGUUGUGUUGAACUUGACA